This 72-nucleotide transfer RNA is filed under the name Aeromonas sp. RU39B. Its description in RNAcentral is "tRNA_Gln_TTG". It matches the Rfam family "tRNA". From Rfam's summary of the family: Transfer RNA (tRNA) molecules are approximately 80 nucleotides in length. The record is from RNAcentral. Lineage: Bacteria; Pseudomonadati; Pseudomonadota; Gammaproteobacteria; Aeromonadales; Aeromonadaceae.
UGGGGUAUCGCCAAGCGGUAAGGCAGCGGGUUUUGAUCCCGCCAUUCCUAGGUUCGAAUCCUAGUACCCCAG